RNAcentral lists this non-coding RNA (48 nucleotides) under Schistosoma curassoni. The record is from RNAcentral. Lineage: Eukaryota; Metazoa; Platyhelminthes; Trematoda; Strigeidida; Schistosomatidae.
ACCCAGCUGACGAGUCCCAAAUAGAACGAAGUAACUCGCGUCCUGGAC